This 1380-nucleotide ribosomal RNA is filed under the name metagenome. Its description in RNAcentral is "bacterial LSU rRNA". It matches the Rfam family "Bacterial large subunit ribosomal RNA", at positions 1566 to 2925 of the family's 2925-position model. The record is from RNAcentral.
ACGAGUCGUCUCUUAGAUGACGAAGUGGUUGAUGCCAUGCUUCCAAGAAAAGCUUCUAAGCUUCAGGUAACCAGGAACCGUACCCCAAACCGACACAGGUGGUCGGGUAGAGAAUACCAAGGCGCUUGAGAGAACUCGGGUGAAGGAACUAGGCAAAAUGGCACCGUAACUUCGGGAGAAGGUGCGCCGGCUAGGGUGAAGGAUUUACUCCGUAAGCUCUGGCUGGUCGAAGAUACCAGGCCGCUGCGACUGUUUAUUAAAAACACAGCACUCUGCAAACACGAAAGUGGACGUAUAGGGUGUGACGCCUGCCCGGUGCCGGAAGGUUAAUUGAUGGGGUUAGCGCAAGCGAAGCUCUUGAUCGAAGCCCCGGUAAACGGCGGCCGUAACUAUAACGGUCCUAAGGUAGCGAAAUUCCUUGUCGGGUAAGUUCCGACCUGCACGAAUGGCGUAACGAUGGCGGCGCUGUCUCCACCCGAGACUCGGUGAAAUUGAAAUCGCCGUGAAGAUGCAGUGUAUCCGCGGCUAGACGGAAAGACCCCGUGAACCUUUACUGUAGCUUUGCACUGGACUUUGAGCCUGCUUGUGUAGGAUAGGUGGGAGGCUUUGAAGCGUGGACGCCAGUUCGCGUGGAGCCAUCCUUGAAAUACCACCCUGGCAUGCUUGAGGUUCUAACUCUGGUCCGUAAUCCGGAUCGAGGACAGUGUAUGGUGGGCAGUUUGACUGGGGCGGUCUCCUCCUAAAGAGUAACGGAGGAGUGCGAAGGUGCGCUCAGACCGGUCGGAAAUCGGUCGCAGAGUAUAAAGGCAAAAGCGCGCUUGACUGCGAGACAGACACGUCGAGCAGGUACGAAGGUAGGUCUUAGUGAUCCGGUGGUUCUGUAUGGAAGGGCCAUCGCUCAACGGAUAAAAGGUACUCCGGGGAUAACAGGCUGAUACCGCCCAAGAGUUCAUAUCGACGGCGGUGUUUGGCACCUCGAUGUCGGCUCAUCACAUCCUGGGGCUGAAGCCGGUCCCAAGGGUAUGGCUGUUCGCCAUUUAAAGUGGUACGCGAGCUGGGUUUAGAACGUCGUGAGACAGUUCGGUCCCUAUCUGCCGUGGACGUUUGAGAUUUGAGAGGGGCUGCUCCUAGUACGAGAGGACCGGAGUGGACGAACCUCUGGUGUUCCGGUUGUCACGCCAGUGGCAUUGCCGGGUAGCUAUGUUCGGAAAAGAUAACCGCUGAAAGCACCUAAGCGGGAAACUUGCCUCAAGAUGAGAUCUCACUGGGAACUUGAUUCCCCUGAAGGGCCGUCGAAGACUACGACGUUGAUAGGCUGGGUGUGUAAGCGUUGUGAGGCGUUGAGCUAACCAGUACUAAUUGCCCGUGAGGCCUGACCGU